GACGAACGCUGGCGGCGUGCUUAACACAUGCAAGUCGAACGGAAAGGCCCUGCUUGCAGGGUACUCGAGUGGCGAACGGGUGAGUAACACGUGGGUGAUCUGCCCUGCACUUCGGGAUAAGCCUGGGAAACUGGGUCUAAUACCGGAUAGGAGCCAUUUUUAGUGUGAUGGUUGGAAAGUUUUUUCGGUGUAGGAUGAGCUCGCGGCCUAUCAGCUUGUUGGUGGGGUAAUGGCCUACCAAGGCGGCGACGGGUAGCCGGCCUGAGAGGGUGGACGGCCACAUUGGGACUGAGAUACGGCCCAGACUCCUACGGGAGGCAGCAGUGGGGAAUAUUGCACAAUGGGCGCAAGCCUGAUGCAGCGACGCCGCUUGGGGGAUGACGGCCUUCGGGUUGUAAACGCCUUUCGCUAGGGACGAAGCUUUUUGUGACGGUACCUAGAUAAGAAGCACCGGCUAACUACGUG
RNAcentral lists this ribosomal RNA (465 nucleotides) under uncultured bacterium. Its description in RNAcentral is "partial 16S ribosomal RNA". It matches the Rfam family "Bacterial small subunit ribosomal RNA", at positions 28 to 507 of the family's 1533-position model. The record is from RNAcentral.